UGAGGAAUAUUGGUCAAUGGGCGCUAGCCUGAACCAGCCAAGUAGCGUGAAGGAUGAAGGCUCUAUGGGUCGUAAACUUCUUUUAUAUAAGAAUAAAGUGCAGUAUGUAUACUGUUUUGUAUGUAUUAUAUGAAUAAGGAUAGUCUAACUCCGUGCCAGCAGCCGCGGUAAUACGGAGGAUCCGAGCGUUGUCCGGAUUUAUUGGGUUUAAAGGGAGCGUAGGUGGCCUGGUAAGUCAGAUGUGAAAGUUUGCGGCUCAACCGUAAAAUUGCAAUUGAUAGUGACAGUCUUGAGUACAGUAGAGGUGGGCGGAAGUCGUGGUGUCGCGGUAGAAUGCUUAGAUAUCACGUAGAACUCCGAUUGUGAAGGCAGCUAACUGGACUGCAACAGAAAAACAUGCUCGAAAGUGUGGGUAUCAAACAGG
This 424-nucleotide ribosomal RNA is filed under the name Fusobacteriota bacterium. RNAcentral's name for it is "Fusobacteria bacterium partial 16S ribosomal RNA". It matches the Rfam family "Bacterial small subunit ribosomal RNA", at positions 355 to 776 of the family's 1533-position model. The record is from RNAcentral. Lineage: Bacteria; Fusobacteriati; Fusobacteriota.